Symphalangus syndactylus (siamang) is the source of this 520-nucleotide long non-coding RNA. RefSeq lists it as uncharacterized. NCBI's taxonomy places the organism in Eukaryota, Metazoa, Chordata, Mammalia, Primates, Hylobatidae. The record is from RefSeq and is a predicted model, not a curated record.
CUUUUGUUCCGAUCACUGGAGAAUGGGUUUGGUACUUUGAGCUGUGUUUCUACAUAAAAAAGAAGGAAUCAAAGUGAUGCUGGUGUGACAAUAUAACAUUUGAAGCUGCUCCAAACAACUUUGACUGUAAGAAAAAGGCCAAAAGAAUACAAGAGGCUCUGACCAAGGACUCUGACUUCACUAAGCCACUGAAACACUCCUGGGACUACCUACCUCCUGCCUUUUCAUUAUGGGAGGAAAUCCUAUUGGUUAGGUCACUGUCUAGUUUUAUAAGGAGGAAUGUUUCCACCAGGAGAUACAAUGAUGCUAUUGAAACGGAAGUGAAGACUGCCAUUCAUCUACUUUGGACCCUUUAUGUCAAUGAAUCAUGCAGCAAUGAAGGGAGCUACAGUGUUGGCUGGGAUAAUUGGUGUUUAAUACCAAGGGAAAAUGGUCUAUUACUACACAAUGGAGAAAAAUGGAAAAUAAAACUCCAUUGAAAUGCCACUACACAUCUAAUAGAAUAAAGAAAAAGAAAGAA